Molecule: long non-coding RNA, 1851 nt
Organism: Felis catus (domestic cat)
Lineage: Eukaryota; Metazoa; Chordata; Mammalia; Carnivora; Felidae
Exons: 3
Source: RefSeq, a predicted model, not a curated record
ACCAAUAACAUAAUCAAUUGACACAUAUUUUGUAUGUUUUAUGUAUUCUAUGUUGUAAUUUUAAAGUAUCUAGAGAAAAAAAAUAUUAUUGAGACAACCAUAAGGAAAAUGCAUUUACAGCACUGUGCUGUAUUUAUUCAAAAAAUCUACAUAUAAGUGGGCUCACAAUUCAAACUCAUGUUAUUCAAAGGAUCAAAUUUACUUCUAAAAGUUUGAAAUGCAUUUAAGUUUGCUAAUCUACAGUAUGUUAAUAUGGAUAGUUCACAAUUGCCUAUUUCUUGGUUUUCACUGGAAAGCCAAGAUUACAAAUAAUUUUUUAAAAGUUGGAAGAAGGGCUGAAAAUACAAAACAAACUAAAGAAAAAAUGUCAGAGCACUUAAAGUAAUAAGCAUAAAUUAACUCUACACACACUGUGCAGUGAGGCUGGAAGAAUGCAGGCAAAGCAGAAGGAACCCUUUUGGAAAAUGAGAAGAAGUGAAGCUACCAUGAAAAUUUCCUCUUAAUGUGAAUGGAUUUACUGUAACUUCUUGUUUUUCAAACUGUGGUCACAGGCCAUUGAUGAUUAUUGUUUUCCUCUGGAUGCUUUUGUAAAUAUAUUUCAUCUUCAGAUAAAUUUAUGGAAAAGACCCUUCUACUCACAUGCAAAUGGUAUCCAUCAGGAUCAGACAACUAGAUGAAACCAACAAUAACCACAUGAAUGAUGAAGAUGGUGACUGCAUGGCCCUCCAGCCUGGUGAUUCAACUAAUAGAAACAGCAAAUACAUGAAUCUUCAGCCUGAUGUCAUCAACAGUGGUAACUGAGAAAAACACUGUAACAGUUGGUCAUGCUCUCAGCCUGCUAAUAGAAUGACUGAAAGGGGGGAAUUGUUACAAUCAAGGACAGAUGGAGACCAGCCUUGAAGUUUCACUGAACAAACAGAACCGGUGUAGUCAUGCAGGAAAAGCUUAACUGAGAUUAUUUUGCAAAACUAACUUGACCUGGAUCAUUUCUUGCUUGUACAUCUGGAAAUGAUGAGUAAAACUUGAACUGUUUCCCAAGGUUGUUAUGAGGGAGCCACUCAUAACUGGCUCAAAACUGUAAUAUUGGAAUCAAUCAUUAUGAAGAAUAAACAGCCAUUGCUUUCUCACUAUUUAAGCUGUUUAAAAACAGUGUACCCCUGAGCCUCAUUCUACGUUCUUGCUUGAGUACUCCCAGUUUGCAAACUGUCUUCUUGGUGUGUGUGCAAUACAUUUUUACUAAGUACACUUUCAUGAUUCAUUGGUUAUACUUUAGUUAUUGUGAAUCUUUGACAGUGCUGUGAACACUAAGCUCAAGCUAUACAGUUGUGUGGACUCCAAGUGAUGCCUGCUCCUGACAUGGGGCUCAUAAGCUGCAGAGAGAACUCCUUGUCCAGGUUUAGAAAAUUCCAACAGUCAGAGCUCCAUUUGUAUGGAGCUAAAUAUUUCCUCCGUGUUAUUUUGACCUGUGGGUCCUAGCCCCAGGCUCUGGAAAUGCUACAACAAAUGGAAUUAUCUUUUCUAUGACAGACCUUCCAACCUUCUCACACAGUGUCCUGGGAGAAGUGGCUGGUGCUGCAAAGGCAGCUGUGAGCUGGAAUGACUCUUGGGGUCAUUCAUCUUGGUGCACUGGGACCCGGAGGUGACAGCCUGAAGGUGCCUGGACUCUGCUAGCAGCUGUCAUAUGAAGAUAUUCAACCUGACAAGGAGGAAACAGUCAUGUUUGGGGAAGGGUGGUAGAAUUGCAAAGAAAAAAAAAAGCAAGGAAUACAGUUUCUUUAUAUUUGGAAAAAUGACUUACAUGUGUGUAAAGUAUCUACUUUGAAAAUAUUACAAACUUAUAUUGAUAAAGUA